RNAcentral lists this long non-coding RNA (446 nucleotides) under Medicago truncatula (barrel medic). RNAcentral describes it as "long non-coding RNA (MTRU_LNC000656)". Lineage: Eukaryota; Viridiplantae; Streptophyta; Magnoliopsida; Fabales; Fabaceae. The record is from RNAcentral.
ACUGCUUUUGCACAAGUAUAAAGCAUCUCUUUCAAAUCCCCUCUAGAUACCAUCUCCACGUUUUUCUUCCACUUCUCUGCCUCUAAUAAGAAUGAAGCAGAUUCUUCUUGAACUUUGGUAUCAUACAUCUCUAGCAUCUCUACGUUAGGUCCUCGCAUAACAGAUUCCAGCUCACUCAUCUUAUGCCUUAGGUCAUCAUGAUCAUGAUAUAUCAAGUAAGAAUCCUCCUCCUCAGGUGAACCAUUGACAAAUUCAAGUGAAUGUUGCGGCCUUAACGUAGAACCUGGACUAUUGUUAGGUGAAAAACUGUGAGUAGAGGGAGAAUUUUGGUAAGGUAAACUGUUGUUGCUUGUUGAAGCAGAUUCAAGGGUGUUGUAUGGUUCUAGAGUUUGAUGAGAAGGAUAAAAUGUUUGGCAGCUGUUAUCAGAGGAAGAAUAAUUGUCUAG